UCUCAGCCCUCACAUACCACGAGAUGAGUGUCGGCAUAGACAGACAUUGCAGCAAGAGGGAGGGCUGGACAAAGCAGCGGGCAGGGCGGCUAAAUGGAUGCCUAGACCGACUUGCAGCAGGAACUUGAGCUAGCUAUUCCAGUCACUACACCCACAACAUCCAGUCACAACCCCGCCCACUCACAACACCCACUUGCUCAGAGCAGUUCUACAAAGUGACUCCCUGGGACUCAUUUCCUGGCUGUCUUAGGCUACCCCGUAGUUGCUGCGGGUACCAAAGAGGCUCCUAGUUCAGGAGAAGGAGCUGGAAAAUUUGCCCCAGGGGGAGAAGUAAAUCUACCUGUGAGGGGGUGGAACCUUUUGUACUGAACGGGGAACACCCGGCUAUAAAGCUUCUUUGCUGAGGGACAAUGGAGAGACCCUGGCUGUUCUCACGCCUGCUGCUACUGCUGGUGAACAUUCCCUGGGGGAGCUGCCAGGCCGAGGUGCACCAGAACCUGUCUGCGGUCACUCGGGAAGGGCAGAACGGCAGCAUCACUUGCCACUACACAACGAGCAAUUUAUGGAGUUUGUGGUGGUUCAGGCAGCUUCCCGGAGGCCAGCCUGUCUCCCUGCUGAUUCUGGUGUCCGAUGGGAAACAAACCAAGGAGCCCAACCUCACCGCGGAGCUCGACAAGGGGCAGCAGCUGAGCUCCCUGCACAUCAGAGAUUCACAGCUGGGAGAUGCAGCCACCUACUUCUGCGCCGUGGAGACACAGUGACACUGGAGCACUGGCAGCCUGUGCAAAAACUCCCCAGCUGGAGGGGUAACUGUCAGGCUGGCAAGCGGUACAACACCACCACCUACUUCUUACAUAGUGCAUCUCUGAGCGUGCUUCACCUUCCUUAACACGGUCAGCCCCCCAUCACCCUGGUGAGACAGGGAAGUGCAAGGAUCCCCACCGCACAGGUCGAGAGCUGAGACAGAGAGGCUGAGGAGGAAAUGCACUUGGGGAAUACCUCCUAGGGAAAGACCCCCAAGGGAGUGGCUCUCAAUCUUUCCAGACUAGUGUUCUCCUUUCAGGAGUCGGAUUUGUCUGGGUACCCCCAAGUUUCACCUCACUUAAAAACUACUUGUUUACAAAAUCAGACCUAAAAAUACA
This is a non-coding RNA of Dermochelys coriacea (leatherback sea turtle), 1142 nucleotides long. Lineage: Eukaryota; Metazoa; Chordata; Testudines; Dermochelyidae. The record is from the annotation of a RefSeq genome assembly.